Molecule: long non-coding RNA, 1253 nt
Filed under: Marmota monax (woodchuck)
Lineage: Eukaryota; Metazoa; Chordata; Mammalia; Rodentia; Sciuridae
Source: RNAcentral
CCUGUCUCCGGCCCGCCACCACCUGCUCUAGUGCCGUGUCCACCCUGUGGGGCCCUAGGCGCCCAGCGCACCGAGGGGAAGGAGGGCCGAGCCGUCCCCGCCUGGGCCAGAGGAGGGCCCGCCGCGGCCCCUCUGCUCCCCGCCCGGGUCCCUAGUCCCCGUGGGCAGGACAGCGGCCAGGCAAGAUCCCCUGGGGUCCAGGGUCGGACCAGGCCCUGUGGAGGCCGCAGGUCUUCAGAACAGGAGAGGAGGCCAGGAGGCCAGGGGGCCCUGUGGUUUGGACACGUCCUGGUCGGUGACACAGAGGAAGUCCCCAUCUCCACCCUGCUGGGCUCUCCCCCCAGUCGCAGGUGGCUGUCCCACUGUCCAUGCCUCAGGUGUCAGGAGCCACGCUGCCCAGGACAGCCCAGCGCCAGGCGCCCGGGGGGCCUGUGUCCCCAGCCGUGUGACGUGGGACCUGGGGCAGGGACGCAGGGGGGCUCUCCAGUCUGGGGUCCCCCCAAUAAAGCAAGGUCUGGGCCUGCUCCUGCGAGGUCCCCAUGUGGUGAUGAAGAGGGGGGGCCUCAGGACACCCCGUGGCUCGCCCACUCAGCCGCAGGGGCAGGUCCUGGGGACGACCUGUCAGCUCAGAAGGGGCCUGGAGGGGUGUGGGGGGACAGGGAGGCGGCUGGGGAGGGGACACGAGGGAAAGUGGGGCCAAGCCAGGUCCCACAGAACCGAGGCCCCAGGGGGGGUGUCCAGGGUGGUGGCAGCGAGGUCUCUGUCCCAGGCUGGUGGCAGCUGGGGUGGGUCCUGGGCCUGCAUCUCCAGUGGCCUCACCCCGAGUCCCCAGGUCCUCCUUCUGUCCCCAUGCACAGAGCCGAGUGCCUGCCUCUGGCCCGUCCGCCACCUCUGCCCUGAAGGGGACACUCAGAGUCCCCUCGGGUGUGGGGUGACGGGACACUGGUCAGCUGACCUGGCCCACCCUCCAGGUGCAUCCACGGGCUCCUGCAGUGUCCCUCGCACCCCGUGCUGGGGCCGGGCAGGGUCCCCCGAUCCCAGGCUGUCCCCACACCGCCCCCUGCAGCAGAGCCCAGGCCCAACAGGGUCCCUUCCCCCGUGGUGACCUGGAUCUGACCCAAGGGCCCCAAAGCCACCUAUGCCCAGUGCGGGCCGGGGACCUCCAGGCUGCGGUUUGUCACUGUGGGGCUUCUGUCCCCGAGACCCAUAAAGGCUCUUGACUGGACUGGCUGCCGUGUCUUCUUGGGGUGAGU